Molecule: ribosomal RNA, 2924 nt
Filed under: Staphylococcus aureus subsp. aureus CIG1176
Lineage: Bacteria; Bacillati; Bacillota; Bacilli; Caryophanales; Staphylococcaceae
Description: bacterial LSU rRNA
Rfam family: Bacterial large subunit ribosomal RNA
Source: RNAcentral
UUAAGUUAUUAAGGGCGCACGGUGGAUGCCUUGGCACUAGAAGCCGAUGAAGGACGUUACUAACGACGAUAUGCUUUGGGGAGCUGUAAGUAAGCUUUGAUCCAGAGAUUUCCGAAUGGGGAAACCCAGCAUGAGUUAUGUCAUGUUAUCGAUAUGUGAAUACAUAGCAUAUCAGAAGGCACACCCGGAGAACUGAAACAUCUUAGUACCCGGAGGAAGAGAAAGAAAAUUCGAUUCCCUUAGUAGCGGCGAGCGAAACGGGAAGAGCCCAAACCAACAAGCUUGCUUGUUGGGGUUGUAGGACACUCUAUACGGAGUUACAAAGGACGACAUUAGACGAAUCAUCUGGAAAGAUGAAUCAAAGAAGGUAAUAAUCCUGUAGUCGAAAAUGUUGUCUCUCUUGAGUGGAUCCUGAGUACGACGGAGCACGUGAAAUUCCGUCGGAAUCUGGGAGGACCAUCUCCUAAGGCUAAAUACUCUCUAGUGACCGAUAGUGAACCAGUACCGUGAAGGGAAAGGUAGAAAAGCACCCCGGAAGGGGAGUGAAAUAGAACCUGAAACCGUGUGCUUACAAGUAGUCAGAGCCCGUUAAUGGGUGAUGGCGUGCCUUUUGUAGAAUGAACCGGCGAGUUACGAUUUGAUGCAAGGUUAAGCAGUAAAUGUGGAGCCGUAGCGAAAGCGAGUCUGAAUAGGGCGUUUAGUAUUUGGUCGUAGACCCGAAACCAGGUGAUCUACCCUUGGUCAGGUUGAAGUUCAGGUAACACUGAAUGGAGGACCGAACCGACUUACGUUGAAAAGUGAGCGGAUGAACUGAGGGUAGCGGAGAAAUUCCAAUCGAACCUGGAGAUAGCUGGUUCUCUCCGAAAUAGCUUUAGGGCUAGCCUCAAGUGAUGAUUAUUGGAGGUAGAGCACUGUUUGGACGAGGGGCCCCUCUCGGGUUACCGAAUUCAGACAAACUCCGAAUGCCAAUUAAUUUAACUUGGGAGUCAGAACAUGGGUGAUAAGGUCCGUGUUCGAAAGGGAAACAGCCCAGACCACCAGCUAAGGUCCCAAAAUAUAUGUUAAGUGGAAAAGGAUGUGGCGUUGCCCAGACAACUAGGAUGUUGGCUUAGAAGCAGCCAUCAUUUAAAGAGUGCGUAAUAGCUCACUAGUCGAGUGACACUGCGCCGAAAAUGUACCGGGGCUAAACAUAUUACCGAAGCUGUGGAUUGUCCUUUGGACAAUGGUAGGAGAGCGUUCUAAGGGCGUUGAAGCAUGAUCGUAAGGACAUGUGGAGCGCUUAGAAGUGAGAAUGCCGGUGUGAGUAGCGAAAGACGGGUGAGAAUCCCGUCCACCGAUUGACUAAGGUUUCCAGAGGAAGGCUCGUCCGCUCUGGGUUAGUCGGGUCCUAAGCUGAGGCCGACAGGCGUAGGCGAUGGAUAACAGGUUGAUAUUCCUGUACCACCUAUAAUCGUUUUAAUCGAUGGGGGGACGCAGUAGGAUAGGCGAAGCGUGCGAUUGGAUUGCACGUCUAAGCAGUAAGGCUGAGUAUUAGGCAAAUCCGGUACUCAUUAAGGCUGAGCUGUGAUGGGGAGAAGACAUUGUGUCUUCGAGUCGUUGAUUUCACACUGCCGAGAAAAGCCUCUAGAUAGAAAAUAGGUGCCCGUACCGCAAACCGACACAGGUAGUCAAGAUGAGAAUUCUAAGGUGAGCGAGCGAACUCUCGUUAAGGAACUCGGCAAAAUGACCCCGUAACUUCGGGAGAAGGGGUGCUCUUUAGGGUUAACGCCCAGAAGAGCCGCAGUGAAUAGGCCCAAGCGACUGUUUAUCAAAAACACAGGUCUCUGCUAAACCGUAAGGUGAUGUAUAGGGGCUGACGCCUGCCCGGUGCUGGAAGGUUAAGAGGAGUGGUUAGCUUCUGCGAAGCUACGAAUCGAAGCCCCAGUAAACGGCGGCCGUAACUAUAACGGUCCUAAGGUAGCGAAAUUCCUUGUCGGGUAAGUUCCGACCCGCACGAAAGGCGUAACGAUUUUGGGCACUGUCUCAACGAGAGACUCGGUGAAAUCAUAGUACCUGUGAAGAUGCAGGUUACCCGCGACAGGACGGAAAGACCCCGUGGAGCUUUACUGUAGCCUGAUAUUGAAAUUCGGCACAGCUUGUACAGGAUAGGUAGGAGCCUUUGAAACGUGAGCGCUAGCUUACGUGGAGGCGCUGGUGGGAUACUACCCUAGCUGUGUUGGCUUUCUAACCCGCACCACUUAUCGUGGUGGGAGACAGUGUCAGGCGGGCAGUUUGACUGGGGCGGUCGCCUCCUAAAAGGUAACGGAGGCGCUCAAAGGUUCCCUCAGAAUGGUUGGAAAUCAUUCAUAGAGUGUAAAGGCAUAAGGGAGCUUGACUGCGAGACCUACAAGUCGAGCAGGGUCGAAAGACGGACUUAGUGAUCCGGUGGUUCCGCAUGGAAGGGCCAUCGCUCAACGGAUAAAAGCUACCCCGGGGAUAACAGGCUUAUCUCCCCCAAGAGUUCACAUCGACGGGGAGGUUUGGCACCUCGAUGUCGGCUCAUCGCAUCCUGGGGCUGUAGUCGGUCCCAAGGGUUGGGCUGUUCGCCCAUUAAAGCGGUACGCGAGCUGGGUUCAGAACGUCGUGAGACAGUUCGGUCCCUAUCCGUCGUGGGCGUAGGAAAUUUGAGAGGAGCUGUCCUUAGUACGAGAGGACCGGGAUGGACAUACCUCUGGUGUACCAGUUGUCGUGCCAACAGCAUAGCUGGGUAGCUAUGUGUGGACGGGAUAAGUGCUGAAAGCAUCUAAGCAUGAAGCCCCCCUCAAGAUGAGACUUCCCAACUUCGGUUAUAAGAUCCCUCAAAGAUGAUGAGGUUAAUAGGUUCGAGGUGGAAGCAUGGUGACAUGUGGAGCUGACGAAUACUAAUCGAUCGAAGACUUAAUCAA